UACGGAGGGGGCUAGCGUUGUUCGGAAUUACUGGGCGUAAAGCGCACGUAGGCGGCUUUGUAAGUUAGAGGUGAAAGCCCGGGGCUCAACUCCGGAAUUGCCUUUAAGACUGCAUCGCUAGAAUUGUGGAGAGGUAAGUGGAAUUCCGAGUGUAGAGGUGAAAUUCGUAGAUAUUGGGAAGAACACCGGUGGCGAAGGCGGCGACCUGGUCCUUAACUGACGCUGAGGCGCGAAAGCGUGGGGAGCAAACAGG
This 253-nucleotide ribosomal RNA is filed under the name uncultured bacterium. RNAcentral's name for it is "partial 16S ribosomal RNA". It matches the Rfam family "Bacterial small subunit ribosomal RNA", at positions 524 to 776 of the family's 1533-position model. The record is from RNAcentral.